AUAUUACUCCCUCCGUUUGAAAUCACUUGUCUCGAAAAUGGAUGUAUCUAGAACUAAAAUACGUCUAGAUACAUCCAUUUAUGCGAUAAAUAAUUCCGAACGGAGGGAGUAGGUC
This is a non-coding RNA of Triticum aestivum (bread wheat), 115 nucleotides long. NCBI's taxonomy places the organism in Eukaryota, Viridiplantae, Streptophyta, Magnoliopsida, Poales, Poaceae. The record is from Rfam.